Molecule: long non-coding RNA, 2264 nt
Filed under: Equus caballus (horse)
Lineage: Eukaryota; Metazoa; Chordata; Mammalia; Perissodactyla; Equidae
Description: lncRNA (ENSECAG00000054109.1)
Source: RNAcentral
CUUAUGUUUCAUAUACUUUUCUAUAUGGUUGUUUCAGUUCACAAUAAAGAGAAUUAAAGUAAACGUCAAAAGCUAUCUGCAGAAAAAAUAAAAAUCUGGCCGAAAAUCCCUCCGUGCUAUGGGGCGGGCCUCCUUUCUGCUGUGCUUACUUACCUGGAGAAGACGGUCUUGGAAAUGACACAGCAGGUGUCUGAGGCUCUUCCCGGGGACACUGCGAUUUCCAAAGGCCUCGCUGCAGAGGGAUUGGCCGCGUGUCAUCAGACUUUGAGCUGUGGUGUGCGUGAAAUAACUUCAGCUACUUAUUUCCUUUUGGAACUGUGCCCAUCCCACCAGAGGGGUGCUCCUUUGUCCCCCAGCCUGCAACUGCGAGGGAGGUGGAAAUCUGUGCUUCUGAUACCUGGGUCCUGGGGCCCACGGCACAGCAGGAGGACAUCACGACAGUUGUGGGCAUGGGGGAGUCAGAGCGCGGUGGUCCUGCCUUGACAGUGGGCCUUGGGGGGCAGAGUGACUGGCUCAGGGGCACAGAACGAGAUAACAGGUUUGCACCUCGAACCCAGGCCAGACGCAUCGCCCCGUGCUCCUCGAGAGGGGGGAAAGCGUCUCUCCCGGUUCUGUUCUCUUGGAGCUUUUCCUCUAGUUUUCAUUCAUCAGUCAGGGAUUUCCAUCAGCUGGAACAGAAACCGACGGCACAGAGCGUGGCUUUCAUUUUCUCUCCUCUAACAGCGCAUCUCCAGAUUCACAUCAAUGUCUCAAAAGAACUUCAGAGAAGACCUGUUUGGGUCCAUUUCCAGAAACGAAAUGUCCAGCCUCUCUGUGCUUAGAUUUUACCCUCCUUUCAAGCUAAUAGGUUAGCCCGUUGCUGUUUCUUGCAUGCUGCCAGAAGACAAGGGAUGGGUCAGAGACUAGAGACUUUAUUAUGCAGAGCACAGCACCCAGCAUGAACACCAGCGUCUCUGGUGGGGCCUCCCGGAGUCUCAGGAAAACCCGCCACCAAGGCCUUCGCUCCCACUAAGCUGUGGAAAUGUGGCUCCUGGGGCCACAGCAGAGCAGCUGUUGCCUGCGUCCGAGGUGCUCCAUAGACGCCCAAGGACGAGUCUUCCGGGCAUGUGACAUUCUGAAACCACAAGUGUCCUUCUCCCCAGAAAAGAGGGAGCACCCACCUUUUUCUUUGUGUCAUGGUCCAUUACAUGUGACCAAAACAGAAUUCUUCCUAUCCAUGGUGACAGCUUUCAAGGAGCAGAUUUUGUCAUUUUUACUUCCAGUUCUCAGGCCUGCUCCCAUCUCCAAACUGGACGCAGCGAUGGGGCCUGGGGUGAGGAGAGGGCCGGGGCUGGAGCAGAGCAGCUGACGGACCUCCAGCCUCUGCAAGGCCUGUGGAGUGGCUUCCCCAGGCCGGCUGGUUUGUUGUGUUCUUCCCUAAUCUCUUAGCUCCUGUGUAAGGACUCAGGCUGGUCCCUGAUCAGUGGUCCCUGAUUAGUGGGAAUUGCCCAAACCUGCCAGGGGUGGACUCUAUUUAGGUUUAUAUAUUUAAGCAUAUAUAUAUGAUACAUGCUCAGCAUAUAGAAACACUUCAAAUCUUUCAGACCAUGGUUUCCCUCAGGCUCUGCCUUCCUUUUCUCUUUACCUCCUUUAUCAGCUCUUACUCCUUUUCUUCUUUCCCACUUCCGAUGGCUGGAGCCAAAGAGGAAGAGAUAAGGGAGUGUUGUCACAGUUGGGAAUUGUCAGGACGGGGAGAAAUACACCAUUUCAGUUCCUUUCCCAACUACUACUUCAAAUCUUUUUUUUUUUUUCUUCUUCUUCUUCUCCCCAAAGCCCCCCAGGUCGUAGUUGUAGAUUCUAGUUGUGAGGGCCUCUGGUUGUGCUAUGUGGGACGCCACCCCAGCAUGGCCUGAUGAGCAGUGUCACAUCUGUGCCCAGGAUCCGAACCAGCGAAACCCUGAGCCGCCAAAGCAGAGCACACGGACUUAACCAUUGGGUCAUGCGGCUGGCCCCUCAAAUUUUGAAUUAAAAAAAAAAUUCCUCUUAAGAAAUCCGAACAUGUCAGCAGAGAUCCCCACGGCCCCCUUGGUGAUAUGCGGCAUCUUUGCAGCCCUCUGGUGGUGGAGGCCUCGGGGCUGCUGGUGUCACCUGUGCUGAGGAGCACCACAGCCACUUGGAGGCAACUAGCAGAGGAGCUGAGGGUGGAGUGGACCCUGCUGACCAUACUGUGUAGGACAUGGACUUCAGGUGACCAGUUUCAUCCACAUUCACUUCUGGGCCCUUCU